RNAcentral lists this ribosomal RNA (250 nucleotides) under uncultured Candidatus Woesearchaeota archaeon. RNAcentral describes it as "partial 16S ribosomal RNA". It matches the Rfam family "Archaeal small subunit ribosomal RNA", at positions 474 to 723 of the family's 1478-position model. The record is from RNAcentral. Lineage: Archaea; Nanobdellati; Candidatus Woesearchaeota.
UACCGGCGCCACAAGUGGAGAUCAUGAUUAUUGGGUCUAAAGUGUUCGUAGCUGGUCUUUUAAGUCUCUUGUGAAAUUCCUGUAGCUUAACUCAGAAAUUGCAAGAGAUACUGUAAGACUUGAAACCGGGAGAGACAAAGAGUAUUGCUUGGGUAGCGGUAAAAUGCUAUAAUCCUUGCAAGACUAACUAUGGCGAAGGCACUUUGUUUGAACGGAUUUGACAGUGAGGAACGAGAGCUAGGGGAGCGAA